Molecule: ribosomal RNA, 253 nt
Filed under: uncultured bacterium
Lineage: Bacteria
Description: partial 16S ribosomal RNA
Rfam family: Bacterial small subunit ribosomal RNA
Source: RNAcentral
UACGGGGGGUGCAAACGUUGCUCGGAAUCAUUGGGCGUAAAGCGCACGUAGGCGGUCCAGUAAGUCGGGUGUGAAAGCCCUCGGCUCAACCGAGGAAGUGCAUUCGAAACUGCUGAACUUGAGUAUGGAAGAGGGUCGCGGAAUUCCCGGUGUAGAGGUGAAAUUCGUAGAUAUCGGGAGGAACACCAGUGGCGAAGGCGGCGACCUGGGCCAAUACUGACGCUGAGGUGCGAAAGCGUGGGGAGCAAACGGG